RNAcentral lists this ribosomal RNA (253 nucleotides) under uncultured bacterium. RNAcentral's name for it is "partial 16S ribosomal RNA". It matches the Rfam family "Bacterial small subunit ribosomal RNA", at positions 524 to 776 of the family's 1533-position model. The record is from RNAcentral.
UACGUAGGGUGCAAGCGUUAAUCGGAAUUACUGGGCGUAAAGCGUGCGCAGGCGGUUUUUCAAGACAGAUGUGAAAUCCCCGGGCUCAACCUGGGAAUUGCGUUGGAGACUGCAAGGCUAGAAUCUGGCAGAGGGGGGUAGAAUUCCACGUGUAGCAGUGAAAUGCGUAGAGAUGUGGAGGAACACCGAUGGCGAAGGCAGCACCCUGGGUCAAGAUUGACGCUCAUGCACGAAAGCGUGGGGAGCAAACAGG